This 468-nucleotide ribosomal RNA is filed under the name uncultured bacterium. RNAcentral's name for it is "partial 16S ribosomal RNA". It matches the Rfam family "Bacterial small subunit ribosomal RNA", at positions 28 to 507 of the family's 1533-position model. The record is from RNAcentral.
GACGAACGCUGGCGGCGUGCUUAACACAUGCAAGUCGAACGGAAAGGCCCUGCUUUUGUGGGGUGCUCGGGUGGCGAACGGGUGAGUAACCCGUGAGUAACCUGCCCUUCACUUUGGGAUAACUUCAUGCCACUGGAGCUAAUACCGGAUAGGAGCUCCUGCUGCAUGGUGGGGGUUGGAAAGUUUCGGCGGUUGGGGAUGGACUCGCGGAUUAUCGGCUCGUUGGUGGGGUAGUGGCUGACCAAGGCUUUGAGGGGUAGCCGGCCUGGGAGGGGGACAGGCCACGCUAGACUUGAGAUACGGCCCAGACCCGAAUCGUAGGCAAGGGGGGGGAGUUGUGAACUAGGGACGGGAGCCUGGUGCAGCCACGCCGCGGGGGGGAAGACGGCAAGGGGGUUGGAAACCGCAGUCGUCUUUGACGAAGCGAUAGUGACGGUAAUGGGUAAAGAAGCACCGGCUAACUACGUG